GUUUCAGAUUUCUUAUCCCUUUGCAUAUUCCAUCAUCAUUCUGUCCAUUUACAUUGUCCAUCAUCCUCAUCCAGUUUUAGAUGUAAGAAUUUCUCUCAUACAGUUCAUCACCAUCGUAGUACAUGUAUUUGUCUUUGGUUUUUUUACUUCGUUUAUUAUCUGGAAAUAAAUCAAUCCAGUGUUCGUUGUUUUAUUUAAAGGGACAGAUUUUCAAAAAAAAUUUAACUGUUUGGUACUGCGUGGGAGGAGAUGGAGUGAAUCACGUAUUCUUUUUGGCCGAAGAACAAUCUAUGUUCUCAGAUUACUUAUAGAUUUCGACUUAUUUUGUCUCUGAAAUUGGAAAAUUCCCAAGUAUUUCUUACUGCAGUUGAUUAAAAUGUAUUUUUACUCGUAUGGUCCAGCACAGCCUUAAUAACAUCCAUAAGUGCAUCACUCACUCGUGUGCCUUGAAGUGGAGAAGUUUGGAGUUGGAAAAGAAGUAGAGAGACUCCAACCGUGCGUUUCUAUGGGAACCUGAUCUUUAUGAUGUCACAAAUCAUUAAUUUAUAAAUACAAGCAUAAUCUAUUCAUAAUAGAAGAAAGAAACACUGUAAAAACAGAUGAAGAAAGAAACCAACGAUGAGUUCAUAAAAAGUUGUGAUUAUAUUUUUUAGUUUC
Brassica napus (rape) is the source of this 657-nucleotide long non-coding RNA. RefSeq lists it as uncharacterized. Lineage: Eukaryota; Viridiplantae; Streptophyta; Magnoliopsida; Brassicales; Brassicaceae. The transcript has 2 exons. The record is from RefSeq and is a predicted model, not a curated record.